RNAcentral lists this long non-coding RNA (241 nucleotides) under Elaeis guineensis (African oil palm). Its description in RNAcentral is "long non-coding RNA (EGUI_LNC052134)". The record is from RNAcentral. Lineage: Eukaryota; Viridiplantae; Streptophyta; Magnoliopsida; Arecales; Arecaceae.
CUUUGAGAUCGAUUAAAAAUUUUCACUAAGAUAUCUGCCUCCUUGAUCUCAUCGAAGAACCUUAAGAAUUUUCUAGUUUGUUUCUUUAUCUCAUAUCUAAAUUAUUUGAAUUUUUCAAAACUUUAGAAUUGUAUCUCACACAUGUACCCAUACUUUGAAAAGUCAUCGAUAAAAAAGAAUGAAGUAAAGGUAACCAUCUCCGGCUUGCACAUCAAAUGGGCUAUACAAAUCAGGAUAUACC